This 116-nucleotide ribosomal RNA is filed under the name Arabidopsis thaliana x Arabidopsis arenosa. Lineage: Eukaryota; Viridiplantae; Streptophyta; Magnoliopsida; Brassicales; Brassicaceae. The record is from RNAcentral.
GGAUGCGAUCAUACCAGCACUAAGCACCGGAUCCCCAUCAGAACUCCGCAGUUAAGCGUUUGGCGAGAGUAGUACUAGGAUGGGUGACCUCCCCGGAAGUCCUCGUGUUGCAUCCC